RNAcentral lists this ribosomal RNA (404 nucleotides) under uncultured microorganism. RNAcentral's name for it is "bacterial SSU rRNA". It matches the Rfam family "Archaeal small subunit ribosomal RNA", at positions 330 to 735 of the family's 1478-position model. The record is from RNAcentral.
GCGCACCAGUCGAGAAACUUCACAAUGUGCGAAGCACGAUGAGGGAAUCCCAAGUGCUUGCACGUAAGUGUAAGCUGUUUCUCUGUCUAAAACGCAGAGAGAGUAAGGGCUGGGUAAGACGGGUGCCAGCCGCCGCGGUAAUACCUGCAGCUCGAGUGGUGACCGUUAUUAUUGGGCCUAAAACGUCCGUAGCCGGUUUAAUAAAUGCCUGGGUAAAUCGGACCGCUUAACGGUUCGAAUUCCGGGUAGACUGUUAAACUUGAGACCGGGAGAAGUUAGAGGUACUCCUGGGGUAGAGGUGAAAUUCUGUAAUCCUAGGGGGACCACCAGUGGCGAAGGCGUCUAACUAGAACGGGUCUGACGGUGAGGGACGAAGCCCCUGGGGCGCAAACGGGGAUUAGAUA